Cydia pomonella (codling moth) is the source of this 4029-nucleotide long non-coding RNA. RefSeq lists it as uncharacterized. Lineage: Eukaryota; Metazoa; Arthropoda; Insecta; Lepidoptera; Tortricidae. The record is from RefSeq and is a predicted model, not a curated record. The transcript is spliced from 2 exons.
CGUUGCAUAUACAUGGCUGUCAUUGUCACCACAUAUAUCAUAAUAAUACCGCGCUAUUAUUGCGUCUUCACUUGUCAUUUCGAUAACAAUGAACAGACAGAAUGGAUAUCAUGACGUAUUGUUUAGUUAGAUCAUAGCUUACGCUCAGUGAAUCUGAAAAUUAAAACUAUAUGUUUUUACUAUUUCGAGGAAACAUAGUUAUUUAGAUUAUAGCUAAAAAUAAUCACGAGAUUUACUGUUUAAAUUUAUUACAAUAACAUUGCUUUACUUGCUACUCCGUCAAAUGAAACAACUUGUGUAUUCUUUCCCGGCAUAUUCGCGUCCACUGCUGAACAUGUACCUCUCGUGGAUUUCCAUGUUGUUCUAGAUGUGGCGGUUCUAUGCCAGGUCGGCCGUGCCGUCUUUUUCAUGUCGUUCGACCUGGCUCGUGGUUUUCCGUCAUUUCGGUUUCCCAGUCGAGAUCUCUAGAACAGCAUUCGCUGGCGCUUGUCUAUUUAGUGGGUUUGAACUUGCAGUUUUCCGUAUGAAAGAUUAAAAGGAAACCAUAAAUGAAGUUAUCGUCCUUGAGUUAUACCAAACUGGUGUAUUGCCAUCUGACUCUCGACAGACCAGAACAAAUUUUCAACUACACACUACUGCGUCUUACGUCUUCCUCGCGUUGUCCCGGCAUUUUGCCACGGCUCAUGGGAGCCUGGGGUCCGCUUGACAACUAAUCCCAAGAUUUGACGUAGGCACUAGUUUUUACGAAAGCGACUGCCAUCUGACCUUCCAACCCAGAGGGUAAACUAGGCCUUGUUGGGAUUAGUCCGGUUUCCUCACGAUGUUUUCCUUCACCGAAAAGCGACUGGUAAAUAUCAAAUGAUAUUUCGUACAUAAGUUCCGAAAAACUCAUUGGUACGAGCCGGGGUUUGAACCCGCGACCUCCGGAUUGCAAGUCGCACGCUCUUACCGCUAGGCCACCAGCGCUACUAACUACACACUACUGCAAGAUUGGAAAAAGACUUUUCAGAUGGGAAAAAGGAAUUCCCAAGUAGGUAAAAAGAGCAGAAUUCUCAUUUUUAGAGAGUUACUGUCAGGAAGCCAACAAGGAUCAAGACACACGCAUUUAUUCGCCGCCCUAACUCCAGGCCGAAAGUAAUUUCACGGUACGUUUCGCACACAUGUUUUACGGUAAGGGAAAACAGCCGACUUAUAUAAAGCUGUGUUUGCUUUCAGUUGCCUCGAAAUACAGUCGACUCUUUGUGAUAUGUUCCGUUGUUUACAUAUAUAACAGUGUACAGCGGGCGUAUAUGAUAACAAAAAAGGGAGGCUGUAGCGGAGCUGUAUGAAAAGUUAUGAGUAGGUAAAUAAGGAUCUAGAUACUUCAGGUAUAUACCUUUUUGGGAGCGCCUUAUAGACAUGCGGCGCGAGUCGAAGAAUGAGAUACGAUAACGAUAAGUUCUGGUUUAGAUCAGUUCUUAUUUAGAUAUCGUUUAUAUGUCGUAUAAUUGACAGAAGCAGCUCGAUUCGGGCAACCAAUGUCACUUUGACGUUAGAAAUAUCGUAGAUAGAUCUUAUUGGGAUCACAGCGGAAUGGAAAUAAACGUCAAUUUUGACAUGUCGUAUAGUUAUCGAUCUUUUAAAGAUCUUACCAAGAUCUUAAACGUGUCUUUAUCAUUCUUCGAAUCGGGCCGAUGGUUAUUGGUUAAAUUUUAAAGCUAGUGAAAUGGGAACAGUUUAAGCCAUGAUAUUAGCCAGUAAAACUAUCAGUUUAGCAUGCUAGAUUUAGUCUCCCGCCCUUUACGUAUUUUUUUAUAUCAUGCCGGUGGUAAUAAUUGCACGGCCUGACUGAUGGGAAGCGGUUAUCUUAACCCAUGGAACCCACAAGUAUCGGAAGGCUGCCGAUACUUUCAAAACCUCAUACAUUUUUGAAGAACCCUUUACUUAAGUCCAUCGAGACAACCGCGACAGGCAAACUUGUAAAAAACCCAUAAAGUUAUAGCCAAUAUUUUUUAUAGCAUUUGUAACUUUCGCAUUUUAAACUCACUUUUUUAUGGAGGAUAGGCAGACGGUUGACCGCGAUCUCACCUGAUGAUAAGUAAUGAUGCUGUCUACGGUGGAGCACGCUUACCUAUGAGAUACCUAUUUACCCUAGCCUUGAAGAGACUCAGAUUGUACACAUACGGUAACACAGACUCGGGCAGGGCAUUCCACUCUUUGGCAGUUCGCAUAAGGAAUGUUGAAGCAGUAGCAGCUUCGUGCGUAUUUGUGGAAUACCUGAAGCGAUGCCGGAGUGCCGAUUGUCUGGUAGUCCGAUGGUGAAAUGGGGACGGAGGAAUAAGGUUGUGCAGUUCCUCGGCACACUAAACAUAUUUAAAACCGGGGCCUCUCCGGGUAUGUUUGCUAAUUCAAGCCAGUCUUCGAGCAACACCGGCUUCCGACACGUCGUAAGGGAGGAGCCUAAGCGAUAUCUUACCGUAAAAAUCUUUCUGCCAUUUUUUGCGGGGGGAAACGUGCACACAGUCGCACUUCUCACUCACUACAUACAAAAUCCAAUCUGUAAUGAAGACACAAAUACAUAGAAAAUGACACACGUCAAAGACAAAUCUCGCACACCUUGAUCUCUUUUUGUGUACGGACGAGUCACAAUAUGCACCGCCAUGGGCACAGUUGUGCCAAUGCUUUGGCAGAGGGGAAAUAGUAUGAAUGCCGUCUCCCUUCCCUGUGUUGCUCGAAUAGAAUAAGAAUAAGAAUAUUUUUUUUGCUUUAAACAUUACCAUACAUAACAUGCAUGCAUCAUUACAUAGGUGUUACAAAAGGCGGUAGGUUUCUAUGUUUAACCAUAGCUGGUAUGCAAAUAUACACAAAAACUUGAAGCUAUAAUAAUUAAAAAUAAAAUAUGUACAAUGUUAAUAAAUUACAAGUGUUUGCCCAUUAUUAUUUACAAUUAAGUUAAUGUCUUACACAAUUAUUCACAUAAAUUAUAAUACUUACAAUAUUGUAAGGUUCUUUAUAAAGAUAAGUACUAUGUAUAACCGAUUAAUACUAAUGCUGUAGUGUAUUUUUGUAUCCUUUUGGGUGUAAUUCGAUAUUGUUGUGGCAAUUCUAUGUCAAUCUGGGUAAUGUCAUUUUGAUAUGGCAACUCAAUAGUUUUUUUUUUAAUGACGAUGGUGACAUAUAAUUUGGAGGGAGACUUGACGUUUAUGAUUGAAUGAUUUUCCUGCUUAUUUUUAAUUGUAAUUCAUUAAUAAAUGGAAAUAACUACUAAAAGUGAUUUAACUUGAAGAAAUAAGACUAGACCCUACAAUAGGGACCGUGCGCGUUGGAGGGUCUGCCAUCUUGUGGUCUGAAUCGGAACCAUAAACAGGCACAUUUACACGUCAAGUGUUUUCUUGUGCAUAGUAGGUUCUGCCAUCUUGUGGGCUACAUCGGAACAAAAAACAUCACAUUUACGCCUCGCGCCAAAAAUCUGACGGCUCCUGUGCUGCCUCCUAUAGUUCAUGCACGCUCCCUAUAUAUUAUUUCAAGUCAAGGUAUUCGUUUAUGCUAUAGAAAUUAUUAUUAUUGAGCCAUUGAUAUAAUUUUACUUUAAACAUUUCAAUAUUCAUGUCCUUCAUGUCAGCAGGCAAUUUAUUGUAAAUUUCUAUAGUCAUAAUCAAGCAGCUUUUUUUAUGCUUUGCCAAUCUUGGAUGUGUAUCGGGGAUCAACCUAUCCGGGUUCCGGCAGGCGCGUGGAUGACUGUCACAGGCUUUCUUAAAUAUAUGUUUAUGUUUGUGAACAAACAUACACACUUCGUAAAUGUAUAAAGAAGGAAGUGGUAGUAAACCUAGUUUUUUUUAAUAGAAGAAUCGAAGAAGCCAGUAUAACGCGAUUAUGAAUAACACCAUUAAGGUGGUUCGAUUAGGUUACCCAAAGCUUAAACCUCACUAGAUGGCGCCACAAUUGCAAAUUUUGAGUUUUAAUUUUUUUGUGGAGUAGUCUUGGUAUUUCUAUACUGUAAAUUAUGUUUAGCGCACUCAUUAAAUAAAUAUUGAACUAUUACAACAAACA